RNAcentral lists this ribosomal RNA (296 nucleotides) under uncultured bacterium. RNAcentral describes it as "partial 16S ribosomal RNA". It matches the Rfam family "Bacterial small subunit ribosomal RNA", at positions 333 to 626 of the family's 1533-position model. The record is from RNAcentral.
CACCUCCUACGGGGGGCAGCAGUGAGGAAUAUUGGUCAAUGGGCGGAAGCCUGAACCAGCCAAGUCGCGUGAGGGAAUAAGGCCCUACGGGUCGUAAACCUCUUUAGGCGGGGAGCAAUGCCGGGCACGCGUGUCCGGAGGGAGAGUACCCGCAGAAUAAGCAUCGGCUAACUCCGUGCCAGCAGCCGCGGUAAUACGGAGGAUGCGAGCGUUAUCCGGAUUUAUUGGGUUUAAAGGGUGCGUAGGCGGAUUUUUAAGUCAGCGGUAAAAUGUCCGGGCUCAACCCGGGCCGGCCG